RNAcentral lists this ribosomal RNA (422 nucleotides) under Favella ehrenbergii. Its description in RNAcentral is "partial Bacterial small subunit ribosomal RNA". It matches the Rfam family "Bacterial small subunit ribosomal RNA", at positions 509 to 931 of the family's 1533-position model. The record is from RNAcentral. Lineage: Eukaryota; Ciliophora; Spirotrichea; Tintinnida; Xystonellidae.
CAGCAGCCGCGGUAAUACGGAGGAUCCAAGCGUUAUCCGGAAUCAUUGGGUUUAAAGGGUCCGCAGGCGGAUUUAUAAGUCAGUGGUGAAAGCCUACAGCUUAACUGUAGAACUGCCAUUGAUACUGUAAGUCUUGAAUUCGGUCGAAGUGGGCGGAAUAUGUCAUGUAGCGGUGAAAUGCUUAGAUAUGACAUAGAACACCGAUAGCGAAGGCAGCUCACUAGGCCUGGAUUGACGCUCAGGGACGAAAGCGUGGGGAGCGAACAGGAUUAGAUACCCUGGUAGUCCACGCCGUAAACGAUGAGUGCUAGUUGUCGGGACGCAUGCGUUUCGGUGACGUAGUUAACGCGUUAAGCACUCCGCCUGGGGAGUACGGCCGCAAGGUUAAAACUCAAAGAAAUUGACGGGGGCCCGCACAAGCG